Molecule: ribosomal RNA, 422 nt
Filed under: uncultured bacterium
Lineage: Bacteria
Description: partial 16S ribosomal RNA
Rfam family: Bacterial small subunit ribosomal RNA
Source: RNAcentral
AAUUUUGGACAACGGGGGCAACCCUGAUCCAGCCAUCCCGCGUGUGCGAUGAAGGCCUUCGGGUUGUAAAGCACUUUUGGCAGGGAAGAAAAGUCUCGUGUUAAUACCUGGAGCUGCUGACGGUACCUGCAGAAUAAGCACCGGCCAACUACGUCCCAGCAGCCGGGGUAAUACGUAGGGUGCAAGCGUUAAUCGGAAUUACUGGGCGUAAAGGGUGCGCAGGCUGUUUGACAAGAAGGAUGUGAAAUCCCGGGGCUUAACCUCGGAACUGCAUUCUUAACUGCCAGGCUAGAGUAUGUCAGAGGGGGGUAGAAUUCCGCGUGUAGCAGUGAAAUGCGUAGAGAUGCGGAGGAAUACCGAUGGCGAAGGCAGCCCCCUGGGAUAAUACUGACGCUCAGGCACGAAAGCGUGGGGAGCAAACA